This 4741-nucleotide long non-coding RNA is filed under the name Capsicum annuum. RNAcentral's name for it is "long non-coding RNA (CANN_LNC009415)". Lineage: Eukaryota; Viridiplantae; Streptophyta; Magnoliopsida; Solanales; Solanaceae. The record is from RNAcentral.
GGACCCGCAGAGCACAAUAUUCUCUCCAUUCUUUAUAGAUAUGACACACAGGCCCUCCUCAUCAGAGAAUAACAACAAUACCCUUACACUGACCUCACCGUCACACACCCAUAUACACUACACACUCUUAUUUCCACCGGGAUACACACAGAUAUGGAUAGAUAAGAGAUGACGUGAGAAAGAGAGAGCUACGAGAGAGUGAGAGAGAUCUGCGAGAGAGAUAUCUGUGAGAGAGUGACAGAUAUUUGCAAGAGAGGGAGAGAUCCGCGAUUGAAAUCAAAAGAGAACGAUGACAAAGCAGUUUCCGGCGAGUGAGAGCUUGAGGAACACGAGUUUGGUGGCUUGAUUACUGUUCCGACGAGCCUAUCUAGUUUUCAUAAAUUCGUUCAAAACCCAUCGAAUACGUCUCAACUGAUAUCUCUUUGUUGUUUUGGUCAUAGCCGAAGUUUACCGGGGUUACAACAAACCUCGAUCUACAUUUGAUUCCGUCCAAACCCAUUGGAAUCGGGCUGAAUUUCUCUUAUUUCUCAUGAUUUUUAGUUCGAGGUUGUGUGGUUUCGUGAGAAUCUGGUCCAGGUCUCUUUGUUUUUGUGAUUCUCAGUUCCGAGUUGGAUGAGUUUGUUUGUUUGAGAUUCGUUUGUUUGAGGUUCGGUUCGAGGUUUCCGAAUGCGGAUUCUCUUUAUUCGAAUUACAGAGUUUGAAAGCUACGAGUCGAGGUCCAAUUCUAUUAUCUCUCUUUUUAUUUCAUUAUUUACUAUAUUUUGGUGUGUUGGUUUGAAUAUUGUGUGUUUUGUUUGAUCCUUGUUGGUGAUGAACGCGUAUUUGUUUUGAUUCGCGGUUGGUUCCUUUGAUUAUGAUUUCUAUGGUGAAAUAGCAUCUCAUUUGAGAAUUAGAAUUGGUUGUUUGGGGCGGAAUUAAAAUUGAUAAAAGUGAAUACGUAUUUGGUUUAAUUCAUUAUUAGCGGUUUAAUUUGGAAUAAGCAUGAAUUUUAUUGAAACAGAUAGGCAAAUGUAGGUUUGGGUAGGCGAAUUUAGAACUUGUUUGUGGUUGAAUGUUUGAAUGUGCGUGGGCAGUACUUGAUUCUAAUGUAUUCAUUUGGUCGGGAAUGCCCCGAGAGAUUUGUAUUGAUUUAUCCGGAGAAUGCCCCGAAGUAUCGUGUAUGCAAAUGAGGUUCGUGAUCAAGGCUCGAGGCAUCGGGUAAGGCAUUGGAAUGCAGUUUUAGGAUUAGCUUAAAGUAGGAUUUAUAUUUUACGCAUUUUUCUCUUUUGGACUGUAUAAUUGGAUUGGACACUAAAUUUUGAAUUGUUUGGUUUUGUUUGCUUGAUUGAUUGUUUUGCAUGCUUUGUGUGGUUUUUACAUUUAUAAUGUCUAAUUAGUCGAUACGCUCUACCAAGCAACUGUGGUCGAACCACGGGAUCGAGGGGUGUCAACACCUUCCCCUCGGUCAACAGAAUUCCUUAGCCAGAAUCUCUGUUCGCAAACCAGUUUAAAGAGUCAAAUUGUUUUGAAAAGGAUUUUCAAAGGUGACUUGGCACACCCGAUUUAUGCCAAGUGGCGACUCUGGGUUUUAAAUAUAAGAAGUCUUUUCGAAACAAAUCUUCAUUUUGUCACUUUAAUAAUAAAAACCCUUUUGAACUAAAAUCAAAUCUUUUGGAGUUGUAAAAAAGGGGUGUGAUAGCUCUGGCGACUCUGCUGGGAACUCUUCAGAAUUCGAGCUUAUUAUUGGAGUUGUAUCGGCUUAGUUUGACACUAUAGGUGUGUAGACAUUUUGUUUGAGUUCUUUUGUGUUAUUGUUUAUCAUUGUUGAGUGCCUACGUGCUAAUUGUUUAUAGUUUUUAUCGUGUGUUACUUCUUUAUAUCUGGCAUCAUGUGCAUAACUCGAGUUAUUUAUUCUGCAACAAGUCCUCGAGUGCACGUCGUGCACACAAACUCUAGUUGAGUCAUUCUUAUUUUGGAGGGGAAAUCGUCGGACGUAUGGAGUGAGUGGAAAGCAAAGCAGCCACUAUCGACCAUAUUCUCCCCCAAACAGCCUUGUUAGUAAACCCCAACAUAGGUCAGCCUUUCGGUCAUGUUUAUCUACAUCAUAUUGAGACCUAGUGGGACCCAACAUAGGUCAUGCUAAAUGUUUCAUCUUUGAGGGUAACUUGAUUAUUUGAUGGACUGAUUCAGAGAAAACAUGUGUUAGAAGUAAGGUACGUUUGAAAAAAAAAGGAAGAAAAAAGUUAGUCGAAAAGUAAAAAAAUGAGUUUCAUAGUUUUUAGAAUUCUUUAUGGCUUUUGUUUUUCCCAAUCCAAAAAUUCAAAAAGAUUUUUUUUUACCUUUUGCACUCAUUUUUUCAAAAACAAAAAUAUCAAAAAGAUUUUUCUUUGUUUCUUUAAUAAGCUUUCAUAAUUUGAAAAUUUCAAACAAAGAUUUCUUUUAAUAGGAGCUUUUUAUAAAAUUCAAAAAAUAUGGUAGAAGUUUUGUACAUUUCAUAUAAUGAAAAUACCAAAAAGAUUUUCUUUCAUAGCAGUUGGUGUCAUUUUUUAUGUGAAGUGUCAAAUUGAAAACUCAAAAAAAGAUUUUGUUAUGUUGUUCAUCGUGUGUCUUUGGUCGUGUCUCAAGUCAGGGUGCAAUCUGUAAUUUAAUCAUUAAUUGUCCAAUCUGGACGAACUACGCACCCCUGAUUCUCCUCUCUUGGGAGUGAGAUACGUAGGCACCCUAUUGUGGGUUCGGGGAUCUUAUUUUAAAAAUCCAAAAAAAAAAAAAAAUCUUCACUUUUCAUUUAGAGUAGGUGUUUCAUGUGUAUCUUUAAAAGAAAACAACAACAAAAAAAUAUUUUCUUUUAAUAGGUUCAAGUUUCAUUUUCGUAUGAAAUUCAAAAUCGAAAAUCCAAAAAUAUUUUCUUCGGUAAUCAUACAUUUCAUUUUGUACAGGAAUCUGAAAAAAUUCAAAAGAUUUUCGUCACUCUUUAUUUAGAGUAAGUAUACAUCUUUAAAAGAAAACUACAAAAAGAUUUUUCUUUAAUAGGUUCAAGUUUCAUUUUCAUAGGAAAUUCAAAAUCAAAAACCCAAAAAGAUUUUCUUUGGUAAUUAUAGAUUUCAUUUUGUAUAAAGAUUUAAACUUGAAAAAUACAAAAAGAUUUUUGUCAAUUCUUUUGACAAUUUGUUAUUUUCUUCUCUUUGAAGUUUCAAGAAAAAGAAUGAAAAAAAGAGAGUUUAAUUGGCCAUUUUGGCAAGACUUCACGAACUGCGCAUACUUGAUUCUCCACUUUCGGGAGUGAGAUACGUAGGCGCCUUUCUUGGGUUCGGUGAUCUUUUUUAAAAAAAAAAAGAGAAAAGAGGUUAUGAAAAAGUGUUGAACUCAAACAUUUGUUAUUUUUUGUUGAGUCAGUUUAAGGUGGUUGGUUUGUGGCAUUCUGGCUGAUUUUUCACCUCACACGAAAUCCAAAGGGUUAGUUGUGUCCAACAAAGAUAUAGAGAGUGACGUCAUGGAUCAAAUAAUAAAUCAGGAAAAUGAGAGUUUGAAGCAAGAGAUUAGGUGGCUAAGCCAACAAAUGACAGAAAUACAUUGAGCUUGGGCCAGUGGGUUUCCUCCUCUUCCAUUUCCCUUUAUUGAUCCUACAAAUACCUCGAGUUUUCCACCAAAAUCUCAAAGUCAGUUUUCUACUAUUGUUGAUGCAUCGCAACAUGACUCAGAAUUCAUUCCAAGCCAAAAGCAUCUUAAUACUUCCACCACUUUUCGUCUAGCUCCUCAGUAUAAGCCUGCUACAUUCACACCACCAUAUGUCGUCUGUGAUCUUAUUGCUCAAUCCUCUAAUGGGACUUCCACACUGGCUCGCCCAACGGUUGGGCGUCCCUAUGCAGCUAGUGAACCUAUAUUCAAUACUCUUGGUGAUCAUUGUUAUACUCCUGAGCUUGCUUUUAAGUUAACUGGACCACCAAAAUUUCUUAACAAGAAGUCUAGUGUGCCAGAAGAGUUGGAGAAAAUGGUUGGAAGAAUGAAAAGUGCAUAAAGUGCUAUGAAAAAUUCUCUAGGACCUUCGGGUAAAGAAGAUGUUUCAUACAAAGACUAGGGCAUGCCUUCAAGCGCUAACCUUCCUCCAAUCUUUGAGAUAUCGACAUUUGAGGAGCAAGAUGGGCAUGAGGAAUCCGUGAAAUAUUUGGGACAAUAUUGCAAUCAAUUAACAGAACCUGGAGGAAAGAAGAAUAGGAAAUAUGGCACUGCUAUUGUAGUUGGAGAACGGGCACAUCCAAGAAGACGUCGUCAUUGCUGUCAGUCUCAAGCCCAAGUUCAUACCCAAGCUCUCCAUAAUCACUCCCAAAAUCUAUUAUACCCUGUUUCCCUACCUCCAUAUCUAGUAUAUUGCGCACAACCAUAUGUUCAACUCCCUCCUUACCCACAAUGGCAUGCAUCAACUUCUCAAAGUCAUCCUCCAAUUCCCCAAACAUACCAAAGCCCUUCUAGGCCCGAUGUUCGAUCCAAGUUAAACAAUGAAAUAAGGCAGAAAUUGAGGGAUAGUUUCACACCAAUUGGAGAGUCGUAUUCCAGUUUAUUUUAGAGAUUGGCACAACGAAUCAUGAUCACACCUCUCCUUGGGUAUACUCCUGACCCACAUUCAAGAAGUUUUGAUCCUAAUGUACGAUGUGCAUAUUAUUCUGUUAUUCAGGGUUACUGUAUUGAAGAUUGUCGUUCUUUGAAAAGAGAAAUUAAAAAGAUUAUUUAAGACAAAUUAAUUAUGGUGCAGAACAUUGAUAGUGAG